AUUGAACGCUGGCGGCAGGCCUAACACAUGCAAGUCGAGCGGAUGAAGGGAGCUUGCUCCUGGAUUCAGCGGCGGACGGGUGAGUAAUGCCUAGGGAUCUGCCUGGUAGUGGGGAUAACGUCCGGAAACGGGCGCUAAUACCGCAUACGUCCUGAGGGAGAAAGUGGGGGAUCUUCGGACCUCACGCUAUCAGAUGAGCCUAGGUCGGAUUAGCUAGUUGGUGGGGUAAAGGCCUACCAAGGCGACGAUCCGUAACUGGUCUGAGAGGAUGAUCAGUCACACUGGAACUGAGACACGGUCCAGACUCCUACGGGAGGCAGCAGUGGGGAAUAUUGGACAAUGGGCGAAAGCCUGAUCCAGCCAUGCCGCGUGUGUGAAGAAGGUCUUCGGAUUGUAAAGCACUUUAAGUUGGGAGGAAGGGCAGUAAGUUAAUACCUUGCUGUUUUGACGUUACCAACAGAAUAAGCACCGGCUAACUUCGUG
This 483-nucleotide ribosomal RNA is filed under the name uncultured bacterium. Its description in RNAcentral is "partial 16S ribosomal RNA". It matches the Rfam family "Bacterial small subunit ribosomal RNA", at positions 30 to 507 of the family's 1533-position model. The record is from RNAcentral.